RNAcentral lists this ribosomal RNA (420 nucleotides) under uncultured Gemmatimonadota bacterium. RNAcentral describes it as "bacterial SSU rRNA". It matches the Rfam family "Bacterial small subunit ribosomal RNA", at positions 220 to 630 of the family's 1533-position model. The record is from RNAcentral. Lineage: Bacteria; Pseudomonadati; Gemmatimonadota.
GCCGGAGGAGCUCGCGGCCUAUCAGCUUGUUGGUAGGGUAACGGCCUACCAAGGCUAUGACGGGUAGCUGGCGUGAGAGCGCGAUCAGCCACACUGGGACUGAGACACGGCCCAGACUCCUACGGGAGGCAGCAGUGGGGAAUAUUGCGCAAUGGGCGAAAGCCUGACGCAGCGACGCCGCGUGGGGGAGGAAGGCCCUAGGGUUGUAAACCCCUGUCAGACGGGACGAACCGUGUGUCGGCAAAUACCCGACAUGCCUGACGGUACCGUCAGAGGAAGCUCCGGCUAACUCCGUGCCAGCAGCCGCGGUAAUACGGAGGGAGCGAGCGUUGUUCGGAAUUACUGGGCGUAAAGGGCGCGUAGGCGGCCGAGUAAGUCGCGUGUGAAAGGCCGGGGCUCAACCCCGAGCACUGCACGCGA